GACGAACGCUGGCGGCGUGCUUAACACAUGCAAGUCGAACGGAAAGGCCCUGCUUUUGUGGGGUGCUCGAGUGGCGAACGGGUGAGUAACACGUGAGUAACCUGCCCUUGACUUUGGGAUAACUUCAGGAAACUGGGGCUAAUACCGGAUAGGAGCUCCUGCUGCAUGGUGGGGGUUGGAAAGUUUCGGCGGUUGGGGAUGGACUCGCGGCUUAUCAGCUUGUUGGUGGGGUAGUGGCUUACCAAGGCUUUGACGGGUAGCCGGCCUGAGAGGGUGACCGGGCACAUUGGGACUGAGAUACGGCGCAGACUCCUACGGGAGGCAGCAGUGGGGAAUAUAGCACAAUGGGCGGAAGCCUGAUGCAGCAACGCCGCGUGCGGGAUGACGGCCUUCGGGUGGUAAACCGCUUUCGCCUGUGACGAAGCGUGAGUGACGGUAAUGGGUAAAGAAGCACCGGCUAACUACGUG
RNAcentral lists this ribosomal RNA (468 nucleotides) under uncultured bacterium. RNAcentral's name for it is "partial 16S ribosomal RNA". It matches the Rfam family "Bacterial small subunit ribosomal RNA", at positions 28 to 507 of the family's 1533-position model. The record is from RNAcentral.